GACGAACGCUGGCGGCGUGCUUAACACAUGCAAGUCGAGCGGUAAGGCCUCUUCGGAGGUACACGAGCGGCGAACGGGUGAGUAACACGUGGGUGACCUGCCCUCAGCUCUGGGAUAAGCCCGGGAAACUGGGUCUAAUACCGGAUACGACUUUCUCGCAUGGGGAGUUGUGGAAAGCCCUGGUCUUCAUCGGUUGGGGUGGGCUGGGGAGUGGGCCCGGCCGGCCGUACUCAGCUUGUUGGUGGGGGUGGAUGGCCGU
This 259-nucleotide ribosomal RNA is filed under the name uncultured bacterium. RNAcentral describes it as "partial 16S ribosomal RNA". It matches the Rfam family "Bacterial small subunit ribosomal RNA", at positions 28 to 267 of the family's 1533-position model. The record is from RNAcentral.